UACGGAGGAUGCGAGCGUUAUCCGGAUUUAUUGGGUUUAAAGGGUGCGCAGGCGGCGUGUCAAGCAAGCGGUAAAAUAGCGGGGCUCAACCCCGUCGAGCCGUUUGAACUGGCGCGCUUGAGUUCAGGCGAGGUGGGCGGAAUUCGUGGUGUAGCGGUGAAAUGCAUAGAUAUCACGAAGAACUCCGAUUGCGAAGGCAGCUUACCAGUCUGCGACUGACGCUCAGGCACGAAAGUGUGGGUAUCGAACAGG
Molecule: ribosomal RNA, 252 nt
Filed under: uncultured bacterium
Lineage: Bacteria
Description: partial 16S ribosomal RNA
Rfam family: Bacterial small subunit ribosomal RNA
Source: RNAcentral